Molecule: ribosomal RNA, 305 nt
Filed under: Chrysometa alboguttata
Lineage: Eukaryota; Metazoa; Arthropoda; Arachnida; Araneae; Tetragnathidae
Description: partial 12S ribosomal RNA
Source: RNAcentral
AGGUAGUAAUAACUAAUAAAACCUAUAUAAAAUGGCGGCAUUUAUUACAUUAGAGGAAUAUGUUUAUAAAUCGAAUUCACACGUUAUUUUUCUCUUUUCAUUACAUCUUAUAUACCUCCGUUAAAAGAAUAACUUUAAAAUUCCUAUUCCUAUUAAUAUUAUAACAUAUUAGGUAAAGGUGUAGACUAUUUAAAAGAUUAAAUGUAUUACACUAAAAAAAAAUUAUACUUCAAUCAAAACUAAAAUUAAGAAUUUAAAAGUAAUAAUACAAUAGUAUUUUAAUAUGAAUAAGAAAAUAAAUGUGC